This is a long non-coding RNA of Scomber japonicus (chub mackerel), 235 nucleotides long. RefSeq lists it as uncharacterized. The record is from RefSeq and is a predicted model, not a curated record. The transcript is spliced from 3 exons. NCBI's taxonomy places the organism in Eukaryota, Metazoa, Chordata, Actinopteri, Scombriformes, Scombridae.
UACAGUCUGUCCUAUCUUAUCUACCUCCUCUUGCAUCUGGUCCAUCCUAGCAGGCCGCCUUGUCCAUCAGCUCUCUAUGCUGACACAGCGUGUCCUCCAGUGCCCUCACCGCCUCCUAUCUCUCCUGACCUAAGGAUAAGCUCAUUGGACUACAAUGGCUACACUAGAGACAGACGGGAAAUUUUAGAUUCUGCUUUCUGGAAUGUUGUACUCACACAACGGAGCAGGCGUAGCA